Molecule: ribosomal RNA, 422 nt
Filed under: uncultured bacterium
Lineage: Bacteria
Description: bacterial SSU rRNA
Rfam family: Bacterial small subunit ribosomal RNA
Source: RNAcentral
UCCACGCCCUAAACGAUGUCAACUAGGUGUUGGGGAAGGAGACUUCUUUAGUACCGCAGCUAACGCGUGAAGUUGACCGCCUGGGGAGUACGGUCGCAAGAUUAAAACUCAAAGGAAUUGACGGGGACCCGCACAAGCGGUGGAUUAUGUGGAUUAAUUCGAUGCAACGCGAAAAACCUUACCUACCCUUGACAUGCCAGGAACCCUGCUGAGAGGCGGGGGUGCCCGAAAGGGAGCCUGGACACAGGUGCUGCAUGGCUGUCGUCAGCUCGUGUCGUGAGAUGUUGGGUUAAGUCCCGCAACGAGCGCAACCCUUGCCAAUAAUUGCCAUCAUUCAGUUGGGCACUUUAUUGGGACUGCCGGUGAUAAACCGGAGGAAGGUGGGGAUGACGUCAAGUCCUCAUGGCCCUUAUGGGUAGGGC